Molecule: ribosomal RNA, 253 nt
Filed under: uncultured bacterium
Lineage: Bacteria
Description: partial 16S ribosomal RNA
Rfam family: Bacterial small subunit ribosomal RNA
Source: RNAcentral
UACAGAGGGGGCAAGCGUUGUUCGGAAUUACUGGGCGUAAAGGGCGCGUAGGCGGCCUGCUAAGUCGAACGUGAAAUCCCCGAGCUCAACUCGGGAACUGCGUCCGAUACUGGAAGGCUUGAAUCCGGGAGAGGGAUGCGGAAUUCCAGGUGUAGCGGUGAAAUGCGUAGAUAUCUGGAGGAACACCGGUGGCGAAGGCGGCAUCCUGGACCGGCAUUGACGCUGAGGCGCGAAAGCCAGGGGAGCAAACGGG